CCUACGGGAGGCAGCAGUGAGGAAUAUUGGUCAAUGGACGAGAGUCUGAACCAGCCAAGUCGCGUGAAGGAUGACUGCCCUAUGGGUUGUAAACUUCUUUUAUAUGGGAAUAAAAUGUUCCACGUGUGGGAUUUUGUAUGUACCAUAUGAAUAAGGAUCGGCUAACUCCGUGCCAGCAGCCGCGGUAAUACGGAGGAUCCGAGCGUUAUCCGGAUUUAUUGGGUUUAAAGGGAGCGUAGGUGGAUUGAUAAGUCAGUUGUGAAAGUUUGCGGCUCAACCGGAAAAUUGCAGUUGAAACUGGCAGUCUAGAGUACAGUAGAGGUGGGCGGAAUGCGUGGUGUAGCGGUGAAAUGCUUAGAUAUCACGAAGAACUCCGAUUGCGAAGGCAGCUCACUGGACUGCAACUGACACUGAGGCUCGAAAGUGUGGGUAUCAAACAGGAUUAGAUACCCUAGUAGUC
This 460-nucleotide ribosomal RNA is filed under the name uncultured bacterium. RNAcentral's name for it is "partial 16S ribosomal RNA". It matches the Rfam family "Bacterial small subunit ribosomal RNA", at positions 338 to 795 of the family's 1533-position model. The record is from RNAcentral.